AACGAACGCUGGCGGCAUGCCUAACACAUGCAAGUCGAACGAGAUCCUUCGGCGUCUAGUGGUGCAUGGGUGCGUAACGCGUGGGCAUCUGCCCUUCGGUUCGGAAUAACAGUUAGUAAUACCUGCUAAUACCGCAUGAUGACGUUAAGUACAAAGAUUUAUCGCCCGAGGAUGAGCCCGCGUAGGAUUAGCUCGUUGGUGUGGUAAAGGCGCGCCAAGGCGACGAUCCUUAGCUGGUCUGAGAGGAUGAUCAGCCACACUGGGACUGAGACACGGCCCAGACUUCUACGGGAGGCAGCAGGGGGGAAUAUUGGACAAUGGGCGCAAGCCGGAGCCAGCAAUGCCGCGUGAAUGAUGAAGGCCUUAGGGUUGUAAAGCUCUUUUACCCGAGAUGAUAAUGACAGUAUCGGGAGAAUAAGCCCCGGCUAACUCCGUG
Molecule: ribosomal RNA, 436 nt
Filed under: uncultured bacterium
Lineage: Bacteria
Description: partial 16S ribosomal RNA
Rfam family: Bacterial small subunit ribosomal RNA
Source: RNAcentral